Molecule: ribosomal RNA, 523 nt
Filed under: uncultured bacterium
Lineage: Bacteria
Description: bacterial SSU rRNA
Rfam family: Bacterial small subunit ribosomal RNA
Source: RNAcentral
UAAUAGAUACCCAGGUAGUCCACGCCCUAAACGAUGCGAACUGGAUGUUGGGUACAUUACGGUACUCAGUGUCGAAGCUAACGCGUUAAGUUCGCCGCCUGGGGAGUACGGUCGCAAGACUGAAACUCAAAGGAAUUGACGGGGGCCCGCACAAGCGGUGGAGUAUGUGGUUUAAUUCGAUGCAACGCGAAGAACCUUACCUGGCCUUGACAUCUGUCGAAUCCUGCAGAGAUGCGGGAGUGCCGCAAGGAACGACAAGACAGGUGCUGCAUGGCUGUCGUCAGCUCGUGUCGUGAGAUGUUGGGUUAAGUCCCGCAACGAGCGCAACCCUUGUCCUUAGUUGCCAGCACGUAAUGGUGGGAACUCUAAGGAGACUGCCGGUGACAAACCGGAGGAAGGUGGGGAUGACGUCAAGUCCUCAUGGCCCUUACGGCCAGGGCUACACACGUACUACAAUGGUCGGUACAGAGGGUUGCGAAGCCGCGAGGUGGAGCCAAUCCCAGAAAGCCGAUCCCAGUCCGGA